RNAcentral lists this ribosomal RNA (327 nucleotides) under uncultured eukaryote. Its description in RNAcentral is "partial 18S ribosomal RNA". It matches the Rfam family "Eukaryotic small subunit ribosomal RNA", at positions 1470 to 1796 of the family's 1831-position model. The record is from RNAcentral.
CCCUUAGAUGUUCUGGGCCGCACACGCGCUACACUGAAGGAGGCAGCGUGUACUCCUGGAUCGAAAGAUUUGGGUAACCCGCGAAUCUCCUUCGUGCUAGGGAUUGAGGUUUGCAAUUAUCCUUCAUGAACGAGGAAUUCCCAGUAAGUGCAAGUCAUAAGCUUGCGCUGACUACGUCCCUGCCCUUUGUACACACCGCCCGUCGCUACUACCGAUUGAAUGAUUUAGUGAGGACUUCGGACUGGGACCGAUGCGGCUUUCGGGCUGCGUCGGUAUUCUGGAAAGAUGUCCAAACUGUAUCAUUUAGAGGAAGUAAAANUCGCANCA